This 602-nucleotide long non-coding RNA is filed under the name Ananas comosus (pineapple). RNAcentral describes it as "long non-coding RNA (ACOM_LNC041799)". Lineage: Eukaryota; Viridiplantae; Streptophyta; Magnoliopsida; Poales; Bromeliaceae. The record is from RNAcentral.
GUGUGGUGAGCUUAAUGCUGUAGGUGAAACAUAACGAUCCAGCCCACUAACAAUAAUAGCUUGUUCGGUCCAAAUCAACGGCCGAAAAUACUUAAACUUGUAUUUAUUAUUAGGUGUAUAUGUGGUAUUUUUUUUAAUUUCUUGUAUAAUCCGACCCGCUAAAAAUAAUAACUUGGUGGAGCUAAACCAAUGGCCGAAAAUGUUUAACCCCAUUUAUUAUUAUUAGAAUGUGAUGCCUUAUAUAUUUCAAAUUAGUAUUUUUUUUCAUCUAUUGUAGGACUCUUGGGGUGUUAUAUAAAAACUAUAAAGCAAAUCAAGCUAAAAAUGAUUAAAAUUUGAUUAAAUGUAUAGUUAAAUUAGAAUAAAAAUUUUAAUAUGUAAUAAGUUUUUUUUUUUUGAGAGAUAGGCAGCACGCUACCCAUUUCGUCUCAUUUAGAAAUAAACUUAGCUGGAAAUGUGAAUCAACUAGGAUUCGAACUUGGAUCUCGAAUACCAAAUAGUAAGCCCUUUGCCACUUGCUCCAGGGAGGGUCGAUAAUAUGUAAUAAAUAUUGAAUAUAAUUUAGUUGUAUGGGUGCAUAGGAAGGUAUGGUAUACCUUGUG